GGUUAAGCGACUAAGCGUACACGGUGGAUGCCCUGGCAGUCAGAGGCGAUGAAGGACGUGCUAAUCUGCGAUAAGCGUCGGUAAGGUGAUAUGAACCGUUAUAACCGGCGAUUUCCGAAUGGGGAAACCCAGUGUGAUUCGUCACACUAUCAUUAACUGAAUCCAUAGGUUAAUGAGGCGAACCGGGGGAACUGAAACAUCUAAGUACCCCGAGGAAAAGAAAUCAACCGAGAUUCCCCCAGUAGCGGCGAGCGAACGGGGAGCAGCCCAGAGCCUGAAUCAGUGUGUGUGUUAGUGGAAGCGUCUGGAAAGGCGCGCGAUACAGGGUGACAGUCCCGUACACAAAAAUGCACAUACUGUGAGCUCGAUGAGUAGGGCGGGACACGUGGUAUCCUGUCUGAAUAUGGGGGGACCAUCCUCCAAGGCUAAAUACUCCUGACUGACCGAUAGUGAACCAGUACCGUGAGGGAAAGGCGAAAAGAACCCCGGCGAGGGGAGUGAAAAAGAACCUGAAACCGUGUACGUACAAGCAGUGGGAGCACGCUUAGGCGUGUGACUGCGUACCUUUUGUAUAAUGGGUCAGCGACUUAUAUUCUGUAGCAAGGUUAACCGAAUAGGGGAGCCGAAGGGAAACCGAGUCUUAACUGGGCGUUAAGUUGCAGGGUAUAGACCCGAAACCCGGUGAUCUAGCCAUGGGCAGGUUGAAGGUUGGGUAACACUAACUGGAGGACCGAACCGACUAAUGUUGAAAAAUUAGCGGAUGACUUGUGGCUGGGGGUGAAAGGCCAAUCAAACCGGGAGAUAGCUGGUUCUCCCCGAAAGCUAUUUAGGUAGCGCCUCGUGAAUUCAUCUGGGGGUAGAGCACUGUUUCGGCAAGGGGGUCAUCCCGACUUACCAACCCGAUGCAAACUGCGAAUACCGGAGAAUGUUAUCACGGGAGACACACGGCGGGUGCUAACGUCCGUCGUGAAGAGGGAAACAACCCAGACCGCCAGCUAAGGUCCCAAAGUCAUGGUUAAGUGGGAAACGAUGUGGGAAGGCCCAGACAGCCAGGAUGUUGGCUUAGAAGCAGCCAUCAUUUAAAGAAAGCGUAAUAGCUCACUGGUCGAGUCGGCCUGCGCGGAAGAUGUAACGGGGCUAAACCAUGCACCGAAGCUGCGGCAGCGACGCUGAUGCGUUGUUGGGUAGGGGAGCGUUCUGUAAGCCUGCGAAGGUGUGCUGUGAGGCAUGCUGGAGGUAUCAGAAGUGCGAAUGCUGACAUAAGUAACGAUAAAGCGGGUGAAAAGCCCGCUCGCCGGAAGACCAAGGGUUCCUGUCCAACGUUAAUCGGGGCAGGGUGAGUCGACCCCUAAGGCGAGGCCGAAAGGCGUAGUCGAUGGGAAACAGGUUAAUAUUCCUGUACUUGGUGUUACUGCGAAGGGGGGACGGAGAAGGCUAUGUUGGCCGGGCGACGGUUGUCCCGGUUUAAGCGUGUAGGCUGGUUUUCCAGGCAAAUCCGGAAAAUCAAGGCUGAGGCGUGAUGACGAGGCACUACGGUGCUGAAGCAACAAAUGCCCUGCUUCCAGGAAAAGCCUCUAAGCAUCAGGUAACAUCAAAUCGUACCCCAAACCGACACAGGUGGUCAGGUAGAGAAUACCAAGGCGCUUGAGAGAACUCGGGUGAAGGAACUAGGCAAAAUGGUGCCGUAACUUCGGGAGAAGGCACGCUGAUAUGUAGGUGAAGUCCCUCGCGGAUGGAGCUGAAAUCAGUCGAAGAUACCAGCUGGCUGCAACUGUUUAUUAAAAACACAGCACUGUGCAAACACGAAAGUGGACGUAUACGGUGUGACGCCUGCCCGGUGCCGGAAGGUUAAUUGAUGGGGUUAGCGCAAGCGAAGCUCUUGAUCGAAGCCCCGGUAAACGGCGGCCGUAACUAUAACGGUCCUAAGGUAGCGAAAUUCCUUGUCGGGUAAGUUCCGACCUGCACGAAUGGCGUAAUGAUGGCCAGGCUGUCUCCACCCGAGACUCAGUGAAAUUGAACUCGCUGUGAAGAUGCAGUGUACCCGCGGCAAGACGGAAAGACCCCGUGAACCUUUACUAUAGCUUGACACUGAACAUUGAGCCUUGAUGUGUAGGAUAGGUGGGAGGCUUUGAAGUGUGGACGCCAGUCUGCAUGGAGCCGACCUUGAAAUACCACCCUUUAAUGUUUGAUGUUCUAACGUUGACCCGUAAUCCGGGUUGCGGACAGUGUCUGGUGGGUAGUUUGACUGGGGCGGUCUCCUCCUAAAGAGUAACGGAGGAGCACGAAGGUUGGCUAAUCCUGGUCGGACAUCAGGAGGUUAGUGCAAUGGCAUAAGCCAGCUUGACUGCGAGCGUGACGGCGCGAGCAGGUGCGAAAGCAGGUCAUAGUGAUCCGGUGGUUCUGAAUGGAAGGGCCAUCGCUCAACGGAUAAAAGGUACUCCGGGGAUAACAGGCUGAUACCGCCCAAGAGUUCAUAUCGACGGCGGUGUUUGGCACCUCGAUGUCGGCUCAUCACAUCCUGGGGCUGAAGUAGGUCCCAAGGGUAUGGCUGUUCGCCAUUUAAAGUGGUACGCGAGCUGGGUUUAGAACGUCGUGAGACAGUUCGGUCCCUAUCUGCCGUGGGCGCUGGAGAACUGAGGGGGGCUGCUCCUAGUACGAGAGGACCGGAGUGGACGCAUCACUGGUGUUCGGGUUGUCAUGCCAAUGGCACUGCCCGGUAGCUAAAUGCGGAAGAGAUAAGUGCUGAAAGCAUCUAAGCACGAAACUUGCCCCGAGAUGAGUUCUCCCUGACUCCUUGAGAGUCCUGAAGGAACGUUGAAGACGACGACGUUGAUAGGCCGGGUGUGUAAGCGCAGCGAUGCGUUGAGCUAACCGGUACUAAUGAACCGUGAGGCUUAACCUU
Molecule: ribosomal RNA, 2902 nt
Filed under: Escherichia coli
Lineage: Bacteria; Pseudomonadati; Pseudomonadota; Gammaproteobacteria; Enterobacterales; Enterobacteriaceae
Description: 23S ribosomal RNA
Rfam family: Bacterial large subunit ribosomal RNA
Source: RNAcentral